GCGGAGGCGGCGGCGGAGCCUCCUCCUGCUGCCGCUGCGCCCCAUCCCCCCGCGGCCGGCCAGUUCCAGCCCGCACCCCGCGUCGGUGCCCGCGCCCCUCCCCGGGCCCCGCCAUGGGCCUCACCGUGUCCGCGCUCUUUUCGCGGAUCUUCGGGAAGAAGCAGAUGCGGAUUCUCAUGGUUGGCUUGGAUGCGGCUGGCAAGACCACAAUCCUGUACAAACUGAAGUUGGGGGAGAUUGUCACCACCAUCCCAACCAUAGGCUUCAAUGUAGAAACAGUGGAAUAUAAGAACAUCUGUUUCACAGUCUGGGACGUGGGAGGCCAGGACAAGAUUCGGCCUCUGUGGCGGCACUACUUCCAGAACACUCAGGUGGAGUGUUGGGAGGGGACUUUCUAACCCCACGGGAAAAGGUGUUAGGGCUGGGAGAACAGAAUUGUUGGCCUAGGCUGGGCCCCCAGGCCAAGGAAAAAACCCUUCCCCACUUCUACCCCUUCUGUUUGGCUACCCCCUACUCACUCUUCAGAACUCACCUUAGUCUUCCCCAGCUUGGACUUCUCUUUAGAAGCAGGAUUCUGGGACCAGGCUGCCUGAUUUAGCCCUCAUAACAUGUCUUUAUUUCCUUGCACAUCUUUGGAUAAACUACUUCCUCUUUGCAGUGGGGUCUCUAGUUUGUGCCAUGACUCCUGUAGAGCUUCUAUAGAGUUCUGUAAACUUCUGUAGAGUUUACUAGAUGAGAAGGAUUGACACAAUUACAAAUGGGAAGAAAACAGAAAGGGCCACACUACGGUAUGCCCCAGGCAGAAGUGAUUGCUUCUCCUUUCUUCCUUCCUUCCUGCCCAGGGCCUCAUCUUUGUGGUGGACAGUAAUGACCGGGAGCGGGUCCAAGAAUCUGCUGAUGAACUCCAGAAGAUGCUGCAGGAGGACGAGCUGCGGGAUGCAGUGCUGCUGGUAUUUGCCAACAAGCAGGACAUGCCCAACGCCAUGCCCGUGAGCGAGCUGACUGACAAGCUGGGGCUACAGCACUUACGCAGCCGCACGUGGUAUGUCCAGGCCACCUGUGCCACCCAAGGCACAGGUCUGUACGAUGGUCUGGACUGGCUGUCCCACGAGCUGUCAAAGCGCUAACCAGCCAGGGGCAGGCCCCUGAUGCCCGGAAGCUCCUGCGUGCAUCCCCGGGAUGACCAGACUCCCGGACUCCUCAGGCAGUGCCCUUUCCUCCCACUUUUCCUCCCCCAUAGCCACAGGCCUCUGCUCCUGCUCCUGCCUGCAUGUUCUCUCUGUUGUUGGAGCCUGGAGCCUUGCUCUCUGGGCACAGAGGGGUCCACUCUCCUGCCUGCUGGGACCUAUGGAAGGGGCUUCCUGGCCAAGGCCCCCUCUUCCAGAGGAGGAGCAGGGAUCUGGGUUUCCUUUUUUUUUUCUGUUUUGGGUGUACUCUAGGGGCCAGGUUGGGAGGGGGAAGGUGAGGGCUUUGGGUGGUGCUAUAAUGUGGCACUGGAUCUUGAGUAAU
This 1509-nucleotide small RNA is filed under the name Pan troglodytes (chimpanzee). RNAcentral describes it as "retained intron". Lineage: Eukaryota; Metazoa; Chordata; Mammalia; Primates; Hominidae. The record is from RNAcentral.